This 465-nucleotide ribosomal RNA is filed under the name uncultured bacterium. Its description in RNAcentral is "partial 16S ribosomal RNA". It matches the Rfam family "Bacterial small subunit ribosomal RNA", at positions 338 to 795 of the family's 1533-position model. The record is from RNAcentral.
CCUACGGGAGGCAGCAGUAGGGAAUCUUGCACAAUGGGCGCAAGCCUGAUGGAGCAAAACCGCGUGAGGGAAGAAGGGUCUCGGCGCGGAAAGCUCUGUUGUUGGAGAAGAACGUGCGUGAGAGUAACUGUUCACGCAGUGACGGUAUCCAACCAGAAAGUCACGGCUAACUACGUGCCAGCAGCCGCGGUAAGACGUAGGUGGCAAGCGUUAACCGGAUUUAUUGGGCGUAAAGCGAGAGCAGGCGGUUGCUUAGGUCUGAUGGUAAAGCGUUCGGCUUAACCGAAGAAGUGCAUCGGAAACCGGGCGACUUGAGUGCAGAAGAGGUCAGUGGAACGCCAUGUGUAGCGGUGGAAUGCGUAGAUAUAUGGAAGAACACCAGUGGCGAAGGCGGCUUUCUGGUCUGCAACUGACGCUGAGGCUCGAAAGCGUGGGUAGCGAACAGGAUUAGAUACCCCAGUAGUC